GGGAGCCGGAUGGGCAGGAAAGCCGCUUGUCCGGUUCUGAGAGGGGGCGGGUAUCAACUGUCGUCAUGGGUGAGAUAUUGUUGCACCGCCGGGAAACCAGGCGGCAAACGGAGAAAAAAACUUUACCCUAUCGCGCUGGAAGUGCUUGUCCUACUCAAAA
This 160-nucleotide unclassified non-coding RNA is filed under the name Candidatus Kentrum sp. LPFa. Lineage: Bacteria; Pseudomonadati; Pseudomonadota; Gammaproteobacteria. The record is from RNAcentral.